Molecule: long non-coding RNA, 780 nt
Filed under: Ananas comosus (pineapple)
Lineage: Eukaryota; Viridiplantae; Streptophyta; Magnoliopsida; Poales; Bromeliaceae
Description: long non-coding RNA (ACOM_LNC031343)
Source: RNAcentral
AUAAAUUAUUUUCGAUGAUAGAGCUUUCGAAUCGAUAAUCUAUACCAUUAAAUAUAAUCUAAAGUAUUUAAAAUUUUUAGAAAUCAAAUUUUUGUAAUUUUUUCAAAAUUAUAAUAAAGUUCAUCAACCAUGCAUAAAAUAAAUGGUCAAAAUCGAACAACUACUUAAAAAUAGAGAAUUUGAUGCUUCAAUUUAAGAUCAGAAUUAUUGAUCUUUUUCUAAAUAGUAAAUAGAAUUUUCGAUAAAAAAUUCAAUCGAUUCCGAUUUUUUUAUACUAUUAUACUAGCAAGUAUCUCAUAUCGACCGUUAAAAAUUAUUAAUUUUGGUAUCUUUUGAUCAUCAGAUAAAUGACAUUACAAAAUUGUGAAACUUGGUUUCUAGAAAUUUGAAAUGCUCAAAAUCAUAUUUAAUAGUAUGGAUCGUCGAUUCAGAAGCUCUAUCAUCGAAAAAACUUAUGAGUACGAAGGCGAUCGUACUUAUAAGAGUAUAGUAGCCAGACUCUCUCUCUCUCUCUCUCAUCUUAACUAGACAUCCCUUCAUCCAAGGGCUAAAAACCUAAUAGCAAUUUAAAUUAAAAUUUAAAAUUUAAAAUUUAAAAUUUAAAUUUGAAGUUUAUAAAUUUAAAAUUUAAAAAUUAAAAAUUUAAAUUCAAAAUUUAAAAUUUAAAAGUUGACAAUUCAAAAUUUUAAAUUAAAUUUUUAAAAAUAAUGUAUUGAAAGGGUUUCGGAAGUUAGAAAGGUAAAAUUGUCAUUUUACAUAAUAUACAGUAUUACUGGUUUU